This is a long non-coding RNA of Ictalurus punctatus (channel catfish), 617 nucleotides long. The record is from Ensembl. NCBI's taxonomy places the organism in Eukaryota, Metazoa, Chordata, Actinopteri, Siluriformes, Ictaluridae.
GCGAGCGGAGCUUGGCUGGGCGUGUCAGCAGACUGGGGCGCGAGCAGAGCUUGGCUGUGCGUGUCCACAGACUGGGGCGCGAGCAGACCUUGGCUGGGCGUGUCAGCAGACUGUGGCGUGAGCGGAACUUGGCUGGGCCUGUCGGCAGACCGGCGCGUGAGCAGAACUUGGCUCUCAGGGACAUGAAGCUUGGCUUGGGCGUCAGAGCCUGGAGGCUUGGCUUGGGCAUCAGAGCCUGGAGGCUUGGCUUGGACAUAAGAGACUGGAGGCUUGGCUUGGACCUCAGGGAGGUGAGACUUGACUUGGACUUGGAUCUCAGGGACUUGAGGCUUGACUUGGAUCUAAGGGGCUUGAGGUUUGGCUUGGAGCUCAGGGACUGGAGGCUUGGCUUGGAGCUCAGGGACUGGAGGCUUGGCUUGGAGCUCAGGGACUGGAGGCUUGGCUUGGAGCUCAGGGACUGGAGGAUUGGCUUGGAGCUCAGGGACUGGAGGCUGGACCUGGAGCUCAGGGACUGGAGGCUGGACCUGUAGCUCAGGGGCUGGCGGCUGGACCUGGAGCUGAGGGGCUGGCGGCUGGACCUGGAGCUCAGGGACGUGAGACUUGACUUGGAUCUCAGG